UCACCGGUAGUCACUUCCGACAAAACAAU
RNAcentral lists this small RNA (29 nucleotides) under Bombyx mori (domestic silkworm). RNAcentral's name for it is "piRNA piR-bmo-1270383". Lineage: Eukaryota; Metazoa; Arthropoda; Insecta; Lepidoptera; Bombycidae. The record is from RNAcentral.